AGCGUCUUUAAUGGCUAAAUCAGUUCAAAUCUUUCACAUAAACUAAUUGAAUCGACUGAAGUAGACACUCAAGUGUUUAAAAAGUGUCCAAAAUCUUUCAUCAAAUGAACCUGCAUUUUUAGGCCAAAAUCGGUCCUUACCCUACUCCCUUGUAAAGAGUUCUUAAUGGAACCCUGGUUCUUGCCUGUGAUUUCUCCCCGCGAAAAGUAUAUUUAUUUAUCAGUCCAUUACAGGAUUUAAACGAAUGAAAUAUUUUCUUUAGAUAUUUUUUCUUGGUCUGGAAUAUUAAUUUCUGCACAAGUUUUAUGAUAAAAUAUGGGCAUUGAGUAGUAUUAAACAAUUAAGAACGAGCAAUAGGUUCCUGAUAUCACUAAUUUGGCAAAUAGGUAAAUAGCAAGAACGCAAUAUAAAAAAGAAACUUACGGGUGUGAUCCCUCUAAUUACAGAAAGAUAGAACACCGUACAAAGGGAAGUAAUCCAAAACUUACAAGACACAGAAUUCGCAUUUAAGGAUAAUAAGAAUAAGAAUAAGAAUUUCAUUAGUCUAAAAUCCAAACAAUAGAAUUGUUACUAAAAUACAAAACAAAAACAAAAACAAACAAACAGACAGACAGACAUAUUAAUUACAAAACGAUAGACAUUAAACACUUGAGUUGAAAUAUGUAGCAUUGAAAGAAAAAAAAUAUAGAUUAUUAAUAUUAAUUAUAAUACUAUUUUUGACAGCAUGCCUC
RNAcentral lists this long non-coding RNA (731 nucleotides) under Mytilus galloprovincialis (Mediterranean mussel). Lineage: Eukaryota; Metazoa; Mollusca; Bivalvia; Mytilida; Mytilidae. The record is from RNAcentral.